ACACCAUGGUGAGGGCACUUUCAUAAUAGCUUCUUGAACUGCUCCCAUGCCUCAUAUAAAGAUUCUUCGUGAAGUUGCUAAAAUGAAAUGAUUUCAUUUCAGAUAUU
RNAcentral lists this small nucleolar RNA (107 nucleotides) under Gossypium hirsutum (cotton). RNAcentral describes it as "Plant small nucleolar RNA R71". It matches the Rfam family "Plant small nucleolar RNA R71". From Rfam's summary of the family: R71 is a member of the C/D box family of snoRNAs containing the C (UGAUGA) and D (CUGA) box motifs. Multiple nearly identical copies of this snoRNA have been identified in Arabidopsis, and it is thought to function as a 2'-O-ribose methylation guide for 18S ribosomal RNA. RNAcentral also lists the same sequence under 1 other name. Lineage: Eukaryota; Viridiplantae; Streptophyta; Magnoliopsida; Malvales; Malvaceae. The record is from Rfam by way of RNAcentral.